Molecule: long non-coding RNA, 690 nt
Organism: Bubalus bubalis (water buffalo)
Lineage: Eukaryota; Metazoa; Chordata; Mammalia; Artiodactyla; Bovidae
Exons: 2
Source: RefSeq, a predicted model, not a curated record
AUGAGUUUGGGUAGGAUCUGGGUGUUGGUGAUGGACAGGGAAGCCUGGCGUGCUGCAGUUCAUGGGGUCGCAAAGAGUCAAACUGAGUGACUAAGUCAAGAAAUCACCUGAAGCAAGAUUAAAGGGACUAGAGAAGCUCAUCAAGAUUAGGAGACCUGAGAUGAGACUAAGUAGUGAAAGCCCUGCUCACGCCCUAAUCUUGUCAGAGACCCCACCUCUGACCUAUCUUCAUCAAGUUCUCUGGAGUUGAGACAUGUAGUUUUUCAAUGCAGAAGCUCAGUGUGUCUCUCUAAGCCUGGCAAAGCAAUAAAGCUAUCCUUUUCUGCUUUACCCACAACUCUUUCCCUGGGAUUUGAUUCAGCACCAGAGUACAGAGAGGCUGAGCUUUCAGUAACAACCUCACUUCUCUGAUAGAUCUAAGAAGAAUUGUUGAUUUUUCAGUUUGUUCUGCUUUUUCAUUUGUUGGGAUGGAGUGAUGACUUCUAAGACCCUUACAUGCUGGAUUGGAAGCUUGAAGUAUAGCCCCAUUCUCUCUGGUCAAGGUGGAUUCCUCACCAACUGAGCCAUCAGGGAUAUCUGGAUCUCAAAUGGGAACUUUUGAUUUUAAUUGCUCUGGGUUAUGGCCAAAGCAACUUGUAAAAGAUAUUUAUGUCAUUCAUGUGAUGGAUAAAGAAGAUGUGGUAUAUAUAC